CGAAGGAUCCAAGCGUUGUCCGGAUUUACUGGGUUUAAAGGGUGCGUAGGCGGACUUUUAAGUCAGUGGUGAAAGCCUGUAGCUUAACUAUAGAAUUGCCAUUGAAACUGAAAGUCUCGAGUGUGGUUGAGGUAACUGGAAUAUAUCAUGUAGCGGUGAAAUGCUUAGAUAUGAUAUAGAACACCAAUUGCGAAGGCAGGUUACUGAGCCAUUACUGACGCUGAGGCACGAAAGCGUGGGGAUCAAACAGGAUUAGAUACCCUGGUAGUCCACGCUGUAAACGUUGCAUACUCGAUCUUAGCGAUAUACAGUUAGGAUCCAAGCGAAAGCGUUAAGUAUGCCACCUGGGAAGUACGUUCGCAAGAAUG
RNAcentral lists this ribosomal RNA (368 nucleotides) under uncultured organism. Its description in RNAcentral is "bacterial SSU rRNA". It matches the Rfam family "Bacterial small subunit ribosomal RNA", at positions 526 to 896 of the family's 1533-position model. The record is from RNAcentral.